CCGCAGCAUGGGUGACGCUUGGAUGUUUGGUGUGUUGCAGGCACCCGUGGUGUUUUCCAGUGUCCCGGAAUGAAGUUCGUGUCUAGCUGUCCGGAUUUCGGCCGACACUUUACCCUGAGGUGCCAGCAGCGAACAGCCGGAACUCUAGCUACGCCACGAACUUCUGUGCUGCGUUUCUGAUGGCUGGCAGACAGUCGUGUGCCAUAAGGUGCACUUCUUGACACUUAAACGGUUGGCACCACAUGUUCAAGCAGCGGUACAAAUACAUUGAAGAAAUCAGGGAGGUUGGCUACUUGUGCAAUGCAUGCUUACCCAUUACAACACAUCUACAUUGGAUUUUUGUCUCCCUAAUUUGAGAAGAAGAGUGUAAAAUGAAAUUUUUCCAAGUGUGAGGUAGAUUAAUUUU
Long non-coding RNA from Bacillus rossius redtenbacheri, 406 nucleotides. RefSeq lists it as uncharacterized. NCBI's taxonomy places the organism in Eukaryota, Metazoa, Arthropoda, Insecta, Phasmatodea, Bacillidae. The record is from RefSeq and is a predicted model, not a curated record. The transcript has 2 exons.